Long non-coding RNA from Daphnia pulex (common water flea), 675 nucleotides. RefSeq lists it as uncharacterized. The transcript is spliced from 2 exons. The record is from RefSeq and is a predicted model, not a curated record. Lineage: Eukaryota; Metazoa; Arthropoda; Branchiopoda; Diplostraca; Daphniidae.
GGUUUUUUGAAAAGUAAUUCAAAUUAGUUUCAUAAGUUUAGUUAUUGUUAUCAUUAAAUUAUAAUUUUCGUAAGUGAAGCAGUCUAAGAAUUACUAUGUCAGAGGGGGAUGAUGAUGGCGAUUUUGAUGAGAAUGCAGAUCCAAACACGAGUCAUGUUUCGCAAAGCAAUACUAGCACCAAUUCUAAUCCUGUAAAUAAAUUAGCUAUACCUGCUGAAUUCUUUACAUGUGUAGAAGACGUGCCUGGCAAAAAUACCAGUGUAUAUCGGUGUCUACAUCCAGGCUGCGUCUCAAAAAAGAAAAAGGAUUGUUCUGAUAAACCACUUGCGGUGUAUCAUAAUUCGCGACACAAUGCAAAGCGAACAUUGCAUUUCUUGGUGGGUGUUAUUUUCUUACAUAUUUUAUUUACAUAUUUUCCUAUCAGACUCGCACAAUAACUUUUCCUAACAACCUUCCAGAAUCAUGAUCCUGGUAACCAGCUUGUACAUACAAAACUUUGGGAAGAUGCUGUAAAACUACUAGAUAAUUCGACAACUCUCAACAACACAGCCACUUCAGUAAAUAGACGUGUCAUGAUUUCACAAGAAGACCUUGAUAGUUGGGUCUUGGUAAUUAAUUCAUUGAAUAUAGACUGUAAUGUAUUUCUUUCAUUAAUGUAAAUAUUUCUUUUUAGAA